Molecule: ribosomal RNA, 585 nt
Filed under: uncultured bacterium
Lineage: Bacteria
Description: partial 16S ribosomal RNA
Rfam family: Bacterial small subunit ribosomal RNA
Source: RNAcentral
UGGGGAAUUUUGGACAAUGGGCGAAAGCCUGAUCCAGCAAUGCCGCGUGUGUGAAGAAGGCCUUCGGGUUGUAAAGCACUUUUGUCCGGAAAGAAAUCCUUGGCUCUAAUACAGUCGGGGGAUGACGGUACCGGAAGAAUAAGCACCGGCUAACUACGUGCCAGCAGCCGCGGUAAUACGUAGGGUGCAAGCGUUAAUCGGAAUUACUGGGCGUAAAGCGUGCGCAGGCGGUUUGCUAAGACCGAUGUGAAAUCCCCGGGCUCAACCUGGGAACUGCAUUGGUGACUGGCAGGCUAGAGUAUGGCAGAGGGGGGUAGAAUUCCACGUGUAGCAGUGAAAUGCGUAGAGAUGUGGAGGAAUACCGAUGGCGAAGGCAGCCCCCUGGGCCAAUACUGACGCUCAUGCACGAAAGCGUGGGGAGCAAACAGGAUUAGAUACCCUGGUAGUCCACGCCCUAAAACGAUGUCAACUAGUUGUUGGGGAUUCAUUCCUUAGUAACGUAGCUAACGCGUGAAGUUGACCGCCUGGGGAGUACGGUCGCAAGAUUAAAACUUAAAGGAAUUGACGGGGUCAUAGCUGUUUCCU